Molecule: non-coding RNA, 4909 nt
Organism: Saimiri boliviensis boliviensis (Bolivian squirrel monkey)
Lineage: Eukaryota; Metazoa; Chordata; Mammalia; Primates; Cebidae
Source: RefSeq, a predicted model, not a curated record
GUGUCCAGGGAACCGCGAAGACGCCGUCGUCAACUGGCCGAGCUGAGAAACAGAAGCGCGGGUCACAGAGACCUCGAACUGCUGGAAUCCUUCGCCUCCGGCGCGCAACCUUCGCCCGGAAUCGCUGCCUUCUCCACCAGCGGGAUGCUUACCUCUCCCGCCCUCUCGGGCCAGGAGGGCCCGGGAAGAUGGGAGGGUAGCUCCUGAGCGGGAACCGCUUCGUCUUCCACCGGACAUAUUGCCUAGAGGUUGCUGUGACUUAGAUCUUGAUCCAGAGAUGGAGAAAUCAGGCUCAUCUUCUACCAUCUCUGAGCAGCAGCUGCAGAGGCAAGAGGGAUGGAGUAACACCAAAACAGACUUGGCUGAGCAGAGGCUCAUUUCAUCUGAGACAUGGCUUCAACUGCAUGGGCUUAAGAGCAACAAAUUGACCUUGAAACAGAUUUUGUCACAGAUUGGAUUCCCACAUUGUGAAGAUUAUGUGGCAUCUCUGGGGAGACUUGUGGCUUCUCGGUAUGCUGAUGGUCUGUUUCCACAGCUCUACAGAGCAGAAGAUGGCAGAGUAUACAAUCUGACAGCUAAAUCAGAACUGAUUUAUCAGUUCGUGGAACAUUUAACACAAGCUGUGGAGAGCUACAAGCAGCGAAUGGACUGGCUCACCAGCAAAAGCCGGCAGAUUUUUGGUGUCAUCUUGGAACAGUGUGUCUCCAUAGUGCUGGAUUUUGGCGGCAUUCUGGAGGGAGAGCUUGAUCUGUGCCAAGAGGCGCUAACAAUGGUCCUCCAGGAGCAGGUGGCUCACAUAACCAACUUCAAUAUCAUACGGGUUUCUCAAGAGCCUGUGAAAUGGCAGGAAAGUGCUACUCCUGUGACCAAACAGUCCAUAGCUGCUGCUGUCAGUUGGGUUGAGAAACUGACUAUUGAGCUGACUGUGAGCAACGCUGGCCGCAUGGAUGCACUUCUGGAAGCUGGGAAAGACAAGACUAUUGAAUCCAUUUACUACUGUGUAGUGGGGGAUGUUCCUGAAGAAUCCAAGGAGCUUCUCCUCCAGAGUGCCUUGGAGAUCCCGUACCCGGUCCACACAGUAUCCUUCAAUGCCAGAGGGGAAGGCACCAUAGCUUUCCUGAAGGACCUGAGUGCCAAGACCCACGGCAGAUUCCACGCAUUUGCCGAGAGAACAGAGUGUGUAGAAUUUCCUGCAUUCUCCACAAAGGAUGGUGAUGAUGUGAUGACUUGGAAUUCAAGGAAACUGAAAGGAAAACUCCCUCCAGGAGCCGGUGUCAGAGAGGACGUGUUUCUCGUUUGGCGAGAGAUGGAGGAAGCCUGCAGCACGCUGGCCCAGAUCCAGAGGCUGGUGGCCAAGCCUCCCAAGCCCGACAUGGCCACAGUGAACUGCGAGUCAGAAACAACCUCUGUUGAGAUUGCAUCGAAUCCAGAAGACACCUGGGACUCUAAGAUGUGGCUGCGGAAAUAUGGCUUGAAGGCCCAGAAGCUGUCCCUGUAUGAUGUCCUUGCUGACUGCUCUUUUCGCCACGCUGAUGGGGUUGUAGAUAUAAAAGCCAAACCGGAGAACGAGUCGGUACAAACCAGUGCGGAGACCAACAAGAAGACAGUCCAUGCAAAAUACUGCAGCAGGUUUGUCCAUGCUCCCUGGAAGGAUGGGAGCUUGGUCCAUGUCAACAUUACCAAAGAGAAAUGCAAGUGGUACAGUGAGAGAGUCCACACAGCCCUGGCCCGGAUCCGAAGGAGGAUUAAAUGGCUACAGGAUGGGAGUCAAAGCCUCUUUGGAAAAUUGCAAAAUGAUUGCAUCUACAUUCUCAUUGACACGUCUCACUCAAUGAAGAGCAAACUGGAUUUGGUGAAGGACAAGAUCAUUCAGUUCAUACAGGAACAGCUGAAAUAUAAAAGUAGGUUUAAUUUCGUGAAGUUUGAUGGUCAAGCAGUUGCUUGGCGGGAACAACUUGCUGAAGUCAAUGAAGAGAAUUUGGAACAGGCUCAGUCCUGGAUUAGAGACAUGAAGAUUGGAAGUUCCACAAACACCCUGAGUGCCCUGAAAACUGCUUUUGCUGAUAAAGAAACACAGGCCAUCUACCUUCUGACUGAUGGGAGACCUGAUCAGCCACCUGAAAUGGUUAUAGACCAGGUCAAAAGUUUUCAGGAAAUUCCUAUUUAUACCAUCUCCUUCAAUUACAAUGAUGAGAUUGCAAACAGAUUUUUGAAAGAGGUUGCUGCUUUGACUGGAGGAGAGUUCCAUUUUUAUAAUUUUGGUUGCAAGGAUCCCACUCCUCCAGAAGCUGUUCAGAAUGAAGAUCUGACCCUUUUAGAUGAGGAAAUGGAACAGGGUUACCGUGACCUGGAGAAGAUACAAGACCUUUAUUCCGAGUCCUUGAUCAUGGACUGGUGGUACAAUGCAGGAAAGGAUGGGGACAGCAAGCAUCAAAAAGAAAUCUGUUCUAUGGUUUCAACCCCGGAAAAAUGUGCAAAGCCUCAAUCUGAUGUCAGUUCAACACAAACUUCAUCCCUGAAUAUGUUGAAGGGACCAUGGAGCCUUUCAGAUCAAAAGGUUCAGAAAAAGAAAGUCCUCCAUGCAGAAUCAACCAAAACCAGCCUGCUCAGAAGCCAGAUGUCCUCCCUCAGGAGCUCAGCUUGCAGUGAAAGGAAGGAUGGCCUCUCCAAUGCCAGCAGCCGGAGGACUGCUCUAAGUGACAAAGACAUGAGCAUUCUGCUGGCUGAGGAGUGUCUGGAUGACCAGUCAUCAGAAAAGGUGACCCAAGAAGGAAGCCAGGAUUAUGACCACAAUUCUUCAGAUGUGUCUUCAGAAAACUGGCUCAAGACCUAUGGCUUGGUUGCCAAGAAACUCACCCUCAUGGAUGCCUUGUCAAUGGCGGCGGUGCCCCACAGCUCCACCUAUGUUCCGGUCCUGGACAAGCACGUCAUGUCUAAGGUCUUUGAUGAGGUGUUCCCUGUGGCACAUGUGUGCAAUGACACAAAUAAGAUGACAUUAAUUAACCCCCAAGGAGUCAAGCUCAAUAUCUACAAGCAAAAAGUGGAACAGGCAAUUCAAUCCUAUGAAAAGCGCUUGAAUAAAAUUGUUUGGCGAGCAUUAUCUCAAGAGGAAAAAGAAAAGUUAGAUGCAAACAAACCAAUACGGUACUUGGAAAACAAAACAGUUUUAAACCAGGCUUUACAACGGUUGAAUUGGCCCAUUUCAUUGAAAGAGCUGUCGAUGCUGGAAAAUGAAAUCCUCGCUGGGAAAAUGUACAUCCAGCAGGCCAUGGAACUCCAGGAGGCUGCCAAGAAGAAUUAUGCAAACAAGGCCCCGGGAGAGCAACAGAAAUUGCAAGGAAAUCCAACAAAGAAAACCAAAUCAAAAAGACCAGAUCCCCUCAAAGGACAGAAGGUUAUUGCAAGAUGUGAUGAAAAUGGUUUUUAUUUUCCAGGGGUUGUGAAGAAGUGUGUGAGCCCCACCCAAGCACUGGUGGGCUUCAGGUACGGAGACACCAAGGUUGUGUCCACCUCCUUCAUCAUGCCUGUGGGGGGCGCCAUGCCCUGCCCACUGCUCCAGGUUGGAGAUUACGUGUUUGCCAAAAUCAGUGAUACCCAAAGGAUUUGACUUCUACGUCCCGGCCAUUGUCAUAGCACUUCCCAAUAAGCAUGUGGAUGCAGAAAAAUUCUACACGGUUUUGAAGUGUAACAACCGGAGAGAAUUUUGCCCUCGGAGUGCACUUAUUAAGAUCAGCCAAAACAAGUAUGCGCUCUCCUGCUCUCAUAUAAAGUCACCCCCAAUUCCUGAGGAUCCCAAAGUAGAGGAUAUGGAGAUGAGGAGCUCUGCUUUCCUCCACCGGCCACUGAAAGAAGCAGACACGCAGGAUUCCAGAGAGCCAAGACAAGAGAAGCCCAGGAGGAAAAAGAGCCCCGCCAAGCAGCCACCUCUCCAGCAGGCGGCACCCUCGGACUCGGGCCGCUCCUCCCACAGCACCAGGUCCCCUGGGUCCUGCCCUGGGACAUAGCCCAAGCCCAAGGUUUGGUUGGGGAUGAGGGACACAACAUCACUUAUCUUGGAAACACCCUGAAAUCCCUUUCAAGAUUAGCACACCUGACAUCAUCCUCCAGAUUCUGGGCCUCUUUAGGUUCCAGUGCAGCAAAGAUCCUAGCAUCCUUAAGUAAUGCUGACCUUCGCUUCCCCAGACGCCCCACCUCCACUUCCCCUCGGCCGGGUGUCUAGACUCAGCAGCCAUGCCAUCCUUGCCACGCCUCCACCUCCAGCAGCCCUGCCCUGUACUCUCAAAGCCAUCCACAGCAGCAAAGGACUGACCUGAAGGCCGUCUGGUGGCAGCUAUGUUAAAGAGACCAGCGUCCUCCCAGGCUGCCCAGACCUCAGCCUCAACACUGCAACUGGCUCCUCUGCUGAGGUAAUGCCACCCUCCGUGCCACCCCUGCCUGCCCUGUCUGUAGCAAAGACUCCUGUCGCCUUCAUCCCCACUGCCUCUCCUACCCACUUGACAACAUUGGUUCUGGCUUUUUGGACUGUUCUUUAUCCCGUUUUCCCCUGUACUCACAAAAUUGUAUUCCAUCUUCUGGUAGACGCCCCACCCCCAGAAGUUUUAACCUGAAAGACGAUUGUCACAGGACUUUCAAAUUGUUUAGAAGUCAGCAUAAGUCAGCAUCCAAGCCUGUACUCUUGUUUUAAAUUAAGUAUCACAUCUAAAUUAGAGAUUUCAUCACCCAGUGUUAGGACUGAAAUUCAGACCUGGUAGCGUGUCUAAGGUCUGCAAGACUGAACAUUCCCUACUUUAUUGUUUUCUGACAUUUUCAUUGAGCUUUUCCUAAUUCUUUUUUUCUGUAGUCUGUUGUAGGUAUCUCUAAUUGAGCGCGAAACCAGAAUAAAAACUCUUACAUUGGAAACAUUUCAAAA